RNAcentral lists this ribosomal RNA (500 nucleotides) under uncultured bacterium. Its description in RNAcentral is "partial 16S ribosomal RNA". It matches the Rfam family "Bacterial small subunit ribosomal RNA", at positions 30 to 523 of the family's 1533-position model. The record is from RNAcentral.
AUUGAUCGCUGGCGGCAUGCCUUACACAUGCAAGUCGAACGGCAGCACGGGAGCAAUCCUGGUGGCGAGUGGCGAACGGGUGAGUAAAGUAUCGGAACGUGCCCAGUCGUGGGGGAUAACGUAGCGAAAGUUACGCUAAUACCGCAUACGAUCUAUGGAUGAAAGCGGGGGAUCGCAAGACCUCGCGCGAUUGGAGCGGCCGAUAUCAGAUUAGGUAGUUGGUGGGGUAAAGGCUCACCAAGCCGACGAUCUGUAGCUGGUCUGAGAGGACGACCAGCGACACUGGGACUGAGACACGGACCAGACUCCUACGGGAGGCAGCAGUGGGGAAUUUUGGACAAUGGGCGAAAGCCUGAUCCAGCCAUGCCGCGUGCAGGAUGAAGGCCUUCGGGUUGUAAACCGCUUUUGUACGGAACGAAAAGGUUUGGGCUAAUAAGCUGAGCUCAUGACGGUACCGUAAGAAUAAGCACCGGCUAACUACGUGCCAGCAGCCGCAGUAA